Mesocricetus auratus (golden hamster) is the source of this 1256-nucleotide long non-coding RNA. RefSeq lists it as uncharacterized. NCBI's taxonomy places the organism in Eukaryota, Metazoa, Chordata, Mammalia, Rodentia, Cricetidae. The record is from RefSeq and is a predicted model, not a curated record. The transcript has 2 exons.
ACACUGCUGAGGACUUGGGGUACAGUCAUAGAACACUUGCUUGCUAUACACAAGGCAGAGACCCAGACCCCACCUGCUUCAACCGGAUCCAGCUAGCCAGAUGGAAAAGCUGAGACUGAAGGGAAGCAGUGAAGCCAGGACCCAAUUAAAGAGGCUCGGUGUGAGAAAGAAAAAGCCCAAGAUAGAAGCAGCACUCAGGAAGCUCUUCAGGAAGACGACAGUGCCACGUACAAACGCUAAAUGAAGCCUGGAACUGGACCCUGAGCACAGGACUUAAAGAGAUGCUAUCCCUCCCUUGGCCACUAGGCGGUGGCAGAGCAGCGUCCAAGGCUGCCCGUAAACAGCUGGCUCAGCAGGUAGCAGCCAGGAGACAAACCAGGCCUGUGAGCGAGAUUUCUGGAAAAGACAAGGUAGGAGCAGACUCUGGCCGAGGAUCAGAAACUUUUCAGAAGACCGACUCCUUUGUGCCUCCGCGUACUGAGUAUUCUAAAUCACCUGAGCUCCCUGCGUGUACCUGACCUCAUGCGGAGGCCCAAAAGACAAAUGAGAAGAGGAAGACAGGAUGAGGCAACAUGAGAGAGGGCGGGCCCCCGCUGCUCCCCUCCCCCUCCACAAACAAAGAAGCAUCCAGAAGAAGCCAGGCCCCCAGAUCUCCCACCUGCAUCUCCCUGCCCAGCCCCUGACCAGGGACAUUUUCCAGAGUCACUCGAGUCCCCAGUGAAACACAGGGAUGAAGAGUGUGGCUUACCUCCCUUAGACAUGUUUAUGCCUAGGGUCGCAGGAAGACACUAAAAGAGAUUUGAGACAAAAGCCACAGCGACGUCAAGAGCACUUGAGGGAGUUGGGAUGGGAGGGCACACCUGCAGUCCCAGAUGUGGAGAAGCUGCUGAAGGCUAGCCUCGGCUACCUAGUGAGCUCCAGGCCACCUUGAAGGGCUGCAUGUCCUCACCCUCACUGGUCCAGCUGGCUUAAGACCCAGUGGCAUGGCCCCCUUUCUGAACCUCUGUCUAUUGCCAGUCUGGGACUCCUGAGAACCUCUACCUAAGCCAUCCCCAGCAUUCUUCUGCAUCUGUCCUGGGCUCAGUGCAGAUCUCUAGCUCAGCGGACCUAGAACUUCAUUCAGUUCCUGGUCAUCUUUUGCUGCGUGGUGAGUUCAAGGACAGUCUGGGCUAUGUGGAAUCCUGUCUCAAAAACAAAACAAAGAAUGGUGACCACACCUCAUUCUGAAGAGCAAAAUAAAUUCCAGAUGAACCCAA